UUCUUCGGGGACGGUUGAAUUCCGUACCGGCGGUAAAGCCCGCGAGCCCAUUGGGGUUGAUUCGGUGAAAUUCCGAAGCCGACAGUGACAGUCUGGAUGAAAGAAGAA
This 108-nucleotide non-coding RNA is filed under the name Candidatus Cryptoclostridium obscurum. Its description in RNAcentral is "FMN riboswitch (RFN element)". It matches the Rfam family "FMN riboswitch aptamer (RFN element)". Rfam says of the family: The RFN element is a highly conserved domain that is found frequently in the 5'-untranslated regions of prokaryotic mRNAs that encode for flavin mononucleotide (FMN) biosynthesis and transport proteins. This element is a metabolite-dependent riboswitch that directly binds FMN in the absence of proteins. Lineage: Bacteria; Bacillati; Bacillota; Clostridia. The record is from RNAcentral.